GUGCUCACCUCAGUAGCACAUAUAGUAAAAUUUGAAUGAUACAGAGAUGAUUAGCAUGGCCCCUGAGCAAAAAUUACACUCAAAUUUGUGAAGUGUUCUAUAUUUUU
This is a small nuclear RNA of Ictidomys tridecemlineatus (thirteen-lined ground squirrel), 107 nucleotides long. The record is from Ensembl. Lineage: Eukaryota; Metazoa; Chordata; Mammalia; Rodentia; Sciuridae.